CCCACCAUAGUUUAUUAAAAACAUUGAUUUGCAAAAUCAAAAAAGGAAUCAUUUCUUGGUGUGUUUGUUUGGUG
Molecule: transfer RNA, 74 nt
Filed under: Neptuneopsis gilchristi
Lineage: Eukaryota; Metazoa; Mollusca; Gastropoda; Neogastropoda; Volutidae
Description: tRNA-Cys
Source: RNAcentral